GUUUCGGGAACAGCCUCUUCCCUGUUUCUCCAAUUGAGGAACGGGAGAAAACCUGGGGUUGUUGUGUCUUGUAAAUAUUCUAGAUAUGAACACUCAUCCCUCUCUACUUGGCUGAUCCAGUCUGAUUAGCUUGCAGGUGCAGAUGCAAAAAAAAACUGCUGUCUAUAGAAGAUCAAGAUUUUUUUUUUGUUUUAAGUUGUCCUAAACAUAGUUUGUUUUGAAAUCCUUUAAUCCAUUAAAUUGAAAUGCAAAGUGCAGACCUCAGAAGAAAGGGAGUAUCAUAAAGGCUUGACCUUCAUGAAAGGAUCUGCUAUCUGAAAUACUUCUCCUUUCGUAUUACAUCUGCACUUGUAUUUUAAUAAAGUGGUUCGUGAUUUCUCUUAGGCUGAGGCGUAUCUUAAGUACUGCAAGUUAUUUGCCGUAUAAAAAUAACUUUGUGAUGAAA
Spea bombifrons (plains spadefoot toad) is the source of this 445-nucleotide long non-coding RNA. RefSeq lists it as uncharacterized. NCBI's taxonomy places the organism in Eukaryota, Metazoa, Chordata, Amphibia, Anura, Pelobatidae. The transcript has 2 exons. The record is from RefSeq and is a predicted model, not a curated record.